RNAcentral lists this ribosomal RNA (494 nucleotides) under uncultured bacterium. RNAcentral's name for it is "partial 16S ribosomal RNA". It matches the Rfam family "Bacterial small subunit ribosomal RNA", at positions 28 to 507 of the family's 1533-position model. The record is from RNAcentral.
GACGAACGCUGGCGGCGUGCUUAACACAUGCAAGUCGAACGGUGAAGCGCCUUCCUUUUUGGUGGGUGGGGAUGAGUGGCGAACGGGUGAGUAACACGUGAGUAACCUGCCCCCUUCGUCUGGAUAACCGCAUGAAAGUGUGGCUAAUACGGGAUAUUCUGGGUCUGUCGCAUGAUGGGUCUGGGAAAGAGAUUGGUUCUGUGGGGGAUGGGCUGGCGGCCGAUCAGCUUGUUGGUGGGGUGAUGGCCUACCAAGGCGAUGACGGGUAGCCGGCCUGGGAGGGUGGACGGUCGCACAGGGACUGCGACAACGGCCAGACUCAUACAGGGCGCAGAAGUCGGGAAUAUUGAACAGUGGGCGCAAGCCUGCUGCAGCGGCGCCGCGUGAGCGAUGGCGGCCUUCGGGUUGUGAACCUCUUUCGCCAGUGAAGCAGGCCUGCCUCGUUUGUGGGUGGAUUGACGGUAGCUGGAUAAGAAGCGCCGGCUAACUACGUG